RNAcentral lists this ribosomal RNA (498 nucleotides) under uncultured bacterium. RNAcentral's name for it is "partial 16S ribosomal RNA". It matches the Rfam family "Bacterial small subunit ribosomal RNA", at positions 30 to 523 of the family's 1533-position model. The record is from RNAcentral.
AUUGAACGCUGGCGGCAUGCCUUACACAUGCAAGUCGAACGGUAACAGGUCUUCGGAUGCUGACGAGUGGCGAACGGGUGAGUAAUACAUCGGAACGUGCCUAGUAGUGGGGGAUAACUACUCGAAAGAGUGGCUAAUACCGCAUGAGAUCUACGGAUGAAAGCAGGGGAUCGCAAGACCUUGUGCUACUAGAGCGGCCGAUGGCAGAUUAGGUAGUUGGUGGGAUAAAAGCUUACCAAGCCGACGAUCUGUAGCUGGUCUGAGAGGACGAUCAGCCACACUGGGACUGAGAAACGGCCCAGACUCCUACGGGAGGCAGCAGUGGGGAAUUUUGGACAAUGGGCGCAAGCCUGGUCCAGCAAUGCCGCGUGCAGGAUGAAGGCCUUCGGGUUGUAAACUGCUUUUGUACGGAACGAAAAGCCCCGGGUUAAUACCCUGGGGUCAUGACGGUACCGUAAAAAUAAGCACCGGCUAACUACGUGCCAGCAGCCGCGGUAA